Long non-coding RNA from Myotis daubentonii (Daubenton's bat), 6432 nucleotides. RefSeq lists it as uncharacterized. Lineage: Eukaryota; Metazoa; Chordata; Mammalia; Chiroptera; Vespertilionidae. The record is from RefSeq and is a predicted model, not a curated record.
CAUCGAUGAGAGAGAAACAUCGAUCAGCUGCCUCCUGCACAUCUCCCACUGUGGAUGUGCCCGCAACCCAGGUACAUGCCCUUGACCGGAAUCGAACCUGGGACCAUUCAGUCCGCAGGCUGACGCUCUAUCCACUGAGCCAAAUCGGUUUCGGCUGGUUCUUUUUUAAAAAUUAAUUUAUUUUUAUAUUUUUAUUGAUUUCAGAGAGGAAGGAGAGGGAGAGAGAGAUAGAAACAUCAAUGAUGAGAGUCAUUGAUCGGUUGCCUCCUGCACGCCCCCUACUAGGGAUCAAGCCCUAAACCAGGGCAUGUGCCCUUGACUGGAAUCAAACCUGGGACCCUUCAGUCUUCAGGCCGAUGCUCUAUCCACUGAGCCAAACCAGCUAGGGUUGGUUCUUUUUUUAUGUUUGUUUUUUUGUAAGAGAACAUUUUUUUGGUAAAUUACAGAGGUAGAAGUAAUUCCUAGAAGAAAUGGGCUUAGGAAACAAGUUAUGGAGGUAAAGGAAGGGUCCUGGGAGCUUGGGCGUGAGGAGGCUAAUGGUAAUGAGCCUGGAGGAGGGGUGGGGGAGAGAAAUGCACCGGUCGUGCUCCCAGGAGGGAGAGCAUGCUGGGUCCUCAUCCUAAGGUGUUUGGUUUUUUUUGUGUGUUUUUUUUUAUUGAUCUCAGAGAGGAAGGGAGAGAGAAAGAUGGAAACAUCAAUGAUGACAGAGAAUCAUUGAUCAGCUGCCUUCUGCAUGCCCCCUACUGGGGAUGGAGCCCACGACCCAGGCAUGUGCCUUUGACCGGAAUCAAACCCGGGACCCUUCAGUCCGCAGGCUCUAUCCACUGAGCCAAAGCGGUUAGGGCAGUUUUUAAAAUAUGUUUUUGAUUGAUUUUUAGAUAGAGAGGAAGGGAGGAGAGAAACAUCGAUGGGCUGCCUUUUGCAUGCCCCUUAGUGGGGAUCAAGCCUGCAACCCGGGCAAGUGCCCUGACCUGGAACCAAACCGGGGCCCUCUUGGUUCAUGGGAUGAAGUUCAAUCCACUGAGCCACACCGGCAGGCAGUCCUAAGGUUUUAAGGGUGGAGAUUUUAGGGGACGUCCUAGGCCUAGGGCCUAGGGCAGCGGGGAAGUUCUCAAUAGAAUACAGGUGUUAGCAGUUUUCCAGGUGUGUCCAUUCAGGGUUGUGGUGUCCACGGAUUGACUGGCCGGCACCAGGGGGGUCAUUAUUCCACGCAGCUGGUCCUGGAGCUGAACCACAACUGAGGCCUAGCUGUUACCUCUGGUUUGAUUGAAACUCUGUCUCUGGGUCCACAGGCCCGAGGCUUUGUUCCCAAGAUUAUUUGAUGCUCAUCAGAACCUUGUUGUCCUGAGGGCUUAAUGCUUAAGGGAGUUCACGUGCAAGGGAGAAGGAGGCAGGUGGGUGAGUCAGGGUGCUGUUGAGGCCAAUUUGAAUCAAAAGGACAGAAAGGAGAAAAGGUCAUAUGAGAGAAAUGAAGUUUCUACGAGGUUACAUAAAUGCACACCCUUUCUCUGAAUGGCCGUUCAACCCUUCGUUGAUGAUUCUUUGAGCCUUGAAAAUUUUCAUGUGUUAGAAAAAGCACAACUGCACAUAUUUUAACUCACAUCUUCUAAUUCUUUCAUCCAGUUUCCCCUCCCACUUCUGUUUUCUUGACUCUUUUCUGUGUUUGUUUAUCUGGGUAUUUAUUUAGAGGCCGCCAUGGGUGGCAUUGGCUGGGCUCUGGGAUACCCAGCUCUGGCUCACCGCCCCGGGAGAAAGACUAUCAUUCCACAAAUAGUGACAAACGUGAUGAGGGCUACUACUGGGACAGUAGAGUAUUGUCAAAUGUGUUGACCUGGGGGUCUCAGGAAGACCUCCCUGAGUAAGGUUUAAAGCCGAGUCUUGAAGGAUGACGUGUCAGUCAGGAAUGCUUUGGGCUGCACACAACGGAAAAUCAAACAGUGAAGCCACGAGGAUGUUGAUUGUUUCCUUAAGAAGCCUGAGAGCAAAGGGCCCCGAGUCUUUAAGUGGCUCAACAACAUCAAGAGCCGUGAGCUGACAUCUCUGCGAUUCUCUUUUCCCUCAGUCGUUUUUCAACCUCAGGCCACAGAUCCGAGCGUGACCUUACGUAACAUCAUCCCGAAACAAAGAGAAGAGAAAGGGCUCAGGUUCCCAAACCACUCUUUCAAAAAGGACACCAGCAUUCCUUGGCAAGUUCCCAGGAGUGUUCUUCUUGUGCCUUUUGCUCAAAAGGAAGUCAUAUGCCCACCUCAGAUGAGCAAAGAGGAAGGGUUUACCAUGAUUGGCAUAAACCAGCCAUGAUUUAUUCCAUAGCACAGUGAGGACCCUACUAUCUCUGAAGAUAAUUGGAUCCCUCCAUGGAGGGUAUGAGGGCCCAUGAAUUCUGGAUAUGGAAGCCUAGAUAAUUCAAACAAAUAUUCAUACCAAUAAAAACUUUUUAAAAAACUAAGAAAUCAUCUUUUAAGACAUCAGAGAAGUAACAGGAUUUGAGGAAUCGCUGAAUCGAGAUGCUGAGAUACUGCAGAGGAUGGGAAAGUGGAGAUGUGAAGCCUUUCUUGAAGGCUGCUUAUACCUUGGGAAUUUUGUUCUGGAAAAGUAUGGGCUGCAAUUCUGGCAGUCUCAGGGGGCUGGGAUGAAAAUGUCCGAGUUAGAGUCCUGCCAAGAAUGAGGACCACAGUGAACACGUCUCACUUUUGAGUGUGAUGCUAAAGGGAUGCACGCUAGGGGUAAGAGCGACCCAGGAAAUCUCAAGCCCUGAACUUGCUUUAAGGUGGUUCCCAAUUGCUAGUGCCCUCAAGAGUCAGCAAAAAAAUAAAAUAAUAAAAGUUCUCUUUAGAGGAAGAUAAUAUUAUCUUGAGCUCCAAGGCACUUCUAUAAAUAAUUUUUUAAAAAUGUCUAGCACACAAAGAUAACCCAAGGAUAUAAGACAGCAUGAAUAAGAGGUACAACAGAUAGUAGAAAUAGACUCAUAGGGUCUCCAGAUAUGAAAUUAUCAGCAUAGAUUACAAAACAAUUGUGUUUGUUAUGUUCAAGAAAUAAAAGCCAAGAGUGGAAAAUUUGGCUGGGAACUGGAGAUUAAAAAAAAAAAAAAAAAAAAAAAGAUACAACAAAUUUAACAGAUUAAAAAUGUAAACUCUGGAAUUUAAAACAAAAUAAUCAAAAUUAAGAAACAGUUUAGCUGCAGAUUAGAAAUAGCAGAAAGGAAAAUUAAUGGACUGGAAUAUAGGUCAGAAGGAAAUCUUUAGAACGAUGCAUAAUAGAAUAAAAAGAUAGAAAAUGUAGAGGAAUGGGUAAAAGACAUGGAUGUCACAAUGAAAAGGGCUAAAUAGAGUCCUAUAAGGAGAGGAUAGAAUGAGCAUAGGCAAUAGUUGAAGGAAAAUGGCUCAAAUUUUUCCAGAAUUGAUGAAACACACUAAAUCAUACAUGUAAGAAUCCAACAAAUCCUAAGCAGGAUUAAAACAACAACAACAAACACCAUGGCCUCACACAUUACACUGAAACUGCAGAACACCAAAGACAAAGAAAACUUAGUAAAAGCGUCAGAAUAAAGCUGACCAAUUACCUUCAGAGGUAAUUUGAGGUCUCACUAUUUAGAGGUCUCACUUCCUGGUUUCAAAGCUUACUACAAAGCUAUGGUAACCAAGACUGUGUGGCAGGAGCAUACGUGUAGCCAGACAGGUCACUGGAGUAGAAUCAGGUUCUAUAAUACAACAUCUGUGUAUUGUAUUGUGUACUCACCCCCCAAUUGAAAUAUAUUUUUAUUGAUUUCAGAGAGAGGAAAGGAGAGGGAGAGAGAGAGAGAAAUAUCAAUAAUGAGAGAGAAUCAUUGAUUGGCUGGCCUCCUGCACACCCCACACUAGGGACCAAGCCUGCAACCCAGGCAUGAGACCUGACUGGGAAUCAAACCGCGAAGUCCUGGUUCAUAGGUCAACACUCAACCCCUGAGCCAUCUGGCAGGGCUCACCACCCAAUUUAAAAUCCAACUAUUUUAAAUCCUACUGUUUUCUCUUUACUAGAAAUGAAGAGAGAUACUUUAUAAUUAUAAAAGUUCAAGUCACUAGGAAGAUAUAACAAUUCUAAAUAUGUUGUGCCUAGUAACAUGACCUCAAUGCAUUUAAAUAAAAAAUUUAAAUAAACAAAUAUCUGAUCAUGUAGAGAUUUUCAUAUACUCUCUCAGUAGACAAAAAAAGAAAUCAGUAAAGAUAUAGGAAAUUUGCAUAAUACUAUUAACUGACUUUACCAAAUAAAUAUAUAAAACAUUAUACCUGCAAAGCUGCAAAAUACACAUUUGUCUCAAACACACAUACAGUAUUUACCAAAAUUGACCAUAUUCUAAACCAUAGAACUAGUUUUAACAAAUCCAAAGGAUGGAAAUCAUUCAGAGUUCAUUCCUUAGCCACAAUACAAUUAUGCUAGAAAUAAAAACAAAAGGAGUACCCCAUAGGAAAUAUAGUCAAUAAUAUUGUAACAACUACGUAUUAUGCCAGUUGGACACUGGGAUCUAUUAGAGAGGGAACACUUUGUAAAGUAUGUGAUUGUCUAACCACUAUGCUGCACACCUGAAACUAAUAUAAAAUAAUAUUGAAUGUAAAUUGUAAUUAAAUUUAAAAAAUAAAUAAAUAAAACACCCAAAAGGAUAGUCAGAAAACCUCAUAUGUUUGGAAAUAAAACAAUAUGCUUCUAAAUAAUACAUGGAUCAAAGAAGAAAUUCUAAUAAAAUUUUAAAAUACUACAUAUUAAAAGUUAUGGGAUACAAGCCAUUCUUUUGAGGAAAAUUUAUGGCCUUACAUAGUUACAUAAGGAAAGGAGAGCUGAAAAUUAAUAAAUGAAAUAUGCACCAAAAAGUAGAAAAAGAAUAGCAAAUUAAACUUGAUGAAAUUAGAAAGAAGGAAAUAAAUCUGAUUGAAAACACACACACAAUAGAAUAAAAAAAAAAACAGAAGUUGGUAUUUUAAAAAGACUAACGAAACCUAAUAAAUCUUUGAUGAGAUGAUAAAAAGAAAAAAAGAGAAAGACAUAAAUAAACCCGAUCAGGAAUGAAAACCAGGGCAUUACCAUAGUCCCUGGAGAACUUAAAAAGAAACUAGGAGGAUGUUAGGAACUUUAAGCUAAAGCAUUUAAAAGGUUUUAUGAAAUGGGAUAAGUUCCCAAGGGGAAAAAAGACAGUUUAUGAAAUUUUACCAAAGAAGAAAUAGAAGUUCUGAAUAUGCCAAUAACUUAAUAGAAUUGAAAUAAUAGUUAAACAUUUCCCCACAAUGCAUGUUCCAGGCCCACAAAGCUUCAUCAGCAACUUUUUUAAAAAAUAUAUUUUUUUAUUGAUUUCAGAGAGAAAGGGAGAGGGAGAGAGAGAGAGAGAGAAACUUCAAUGAUGAGGGAGAAUCAUUGAUUGGCUGCCUCCUGCAUGCCCCCUACUGGGGGUCAAGCCCGCAACCCAGGCAUGUGCCCUGGACCUACCCUGGGACCCUUCGUCCGCAGGCCAACGCUCUAUCCACUGAGCCAAGCCAGCUAGGGCCAUAGCAACUUCUAUCAAACAGAAGAGAUUAGGUCAAUUUUAUACAAACUUUUAGAGAAUAGAAAUAGUUUUCCAAACAUUUUCCAAAUCAUUCUGAGGCUAGUAUAAUGUAUUGUAAAUGUUAAACAUUUUUCCUAUGUAUUAUGCUGUUUUGACAUCCUAAAAAUCACCUUUCUGCUUGGGGAGAAGCAUUCUUAGAGAUAGCAAAGGAUCCGGCCUGGAGCAUGGUCCAGAGCCUUCCUCCUCUAUCUGGUCUUUGCAUCCCAAAAGGAGAUACUCCUCUACCUUAAGCAUCCCAGGGCCAGGGGUCAGGCAACUAGGGACCGCUCCUAGGGCCCAAAGCUAGCCAAACUUCUUCAAACUAUCCAGCCCUAAACCAUUCACCCUGCCCUGCCUGGCCUUUCCCACAGGAACCUCAGUAAAGGCGGUGGCCUAACCUCACCCGUCCCUAUUGUUUUCUGCCUCCUGACUACCCUGGAGUCUUUCAGAUUUGGCCCUGUGUCGACUUGUCAUGCCUCCUGCCUUUAAGACCUAUGAGUGUAUUAUAAACUUUUUCCCCCUGAGCCUUUCCUCUUGUGAUCUCAUCUAACUGAGCAUCUCAUCAAAACCACAAAACCAAGUAUGAGGAAGAAAAAUUACAGGUAAGUCUCAUUCACAAGCAGUGACACAAAAAAUCCUAAAUAAAUAUUAGGAAGUUGAAUCCAGUAAUAUAUAAAAAAAGAAUGAUACAUCGUGUCCAAUUUGUGUUUUUUAUUAUUUUAGUAAUGCAAGCAAAGCUUAAUUUUCCAAAAAAAAAAAAAUCAAUGAAUGAAUUUACUACUUUAACAAACCACAUAAGAAAAAAAAAAUCAUAAAUCAUCUCAAUAGCUGCAGGAAAAAAUAUUUAAUAAAAUUCAACAUUUAUGGUAUAAAGUCUCAGCAAA